CAGAGUUGCAAGACUCCCUAAACCAUUGUGAACCUACCUUCUACCGUUGCUUCGGCGGGCGGGCCCAGCGCCCCCCCGGCCCCCCGCGGGCGCCCGCCGGAGGAUACCCAAACUCUUGACAUUAGUGGCCUCUCUGAGUAUUCUUUACUGAGUAAGUCA
RNAcentral lists this unclassified non-coding RNA (159 nucleotides) under soil metagenome. RNAcentral's name for it is "partial internal transcribed spacer 1". The record is from RNAcentral.